GUCGUACGCUUCUUUUUCCACCGGAGCUUGCUCCACCGGAAAAAGAAGAGUGGCGAACGGGUGAGUAACACGUGGGUAACCUGCCCAUCAGAAGGGGAUAACACUUGGAAACAGGUGCUAAUACCGUAUAACAAUCGAAACCGCAUGGUUUUGAUUUGAAAGGCGCUUUCGGGUGUCGCUGAUGGAUGGACCCGCGGUGCAUUAGCUAGUUGGUGAGGUAACGGCUCACCAAGGCCACGAUGCAUAGCCGACCUGAGAGGGUGAUCGGCCACAUUGGGACUGAGACACGGCCCAAACUCCUACGGGAGGCAGCAGUAGGGAAUCUUCGGCAAUGGACGAAAGUCUGACCGAGCAACGCCGCGUGAGUGAAGAAGGUUUUCGGAUCGUAAAACUCUGUUGUUAGAGAAGAACAAGGAUGAGAGUAACUGUUCAUCCCUUGACGGUAUCUAACCAGAAAGCCACGGCUAACUACGUGCCAGCAGCCGCGGUAAUACGUAGGUGGCAAGCGUUGUCCGGAUUUAUUGGGCGUAAAGCGAGCGCAGGCGGUUUCUUAAGUCUGAUGUGAAAGCCCCCGGCUCAACCGGGGAGGGUCAUUGGAAACUGGGAGACUUGAGUGCAGAAGAGGAGAGUGGAAUUCCAUGUGUAGCGGUGAAAUGCGUAGAUAUAUGGAGGAACACCAGUGGCGAAGGCGGCUCUCUGGUCUGUAACUGACGCUGAGGCUCGAAAGCGUGGGGAGCAAACAGGAUUAGAUACCCUGGUAGUCCACGCCGUAAACGAUGAGUGCUAAGUGUUGGAGGGUUUCCGCCCUUCAGUGCUGCAGCUAACGCAUUAAGCACUCCGCCUGGGGAGUACGACCGCAAGGUUGAAACUCAAAGGAAUUGACGGGGGCCCGCACAAGCGGUGGAGCAUGUGGUUUAAUUCGAAGCAACGCGAAGAACCUUACCAGGUCUUGACAUCCUUUGACCACUCUAGAGAUAGAGCUUCCCCUUCGGGGGCAAAGUGACAGGUGGUGCAUGGUUGUCGUCAGCUCGUGUCGUGAGAUGUUGGGUUAAGUCCCGCAACGAGCGCAACCCUUAUUGUUAGUUGCCAUCAUUCAGUUGGGCACUCUAGCAAGACUGCCGGUGACAAACCGGAGGAAGGUGGGGAUGACGUCAAAUCAUCAUGCCCCUUAUGACCUGGGCUACACACGUGCUACAAUGGGAAGUACAACGAGUCGCGAAGUCGCGAGGCUAAGCUAAUCUCUUAAAGCUUCUCUCAGUUCGGAUUGUAGGCUGCAACUCGCCUACAUGAAGCCGGAAUCGCUAGUAAUCGCGGAUCAGCACGCCGCGGUGAAUACGUUCCCGGGCCUUGUACACACCGCCCGUCACACCACGAGAGUUUGUAACACCCGAAGUCGGUGAGGUAACCUUUUGGAGCCAGCCGCCUAAGGUGGGAUAGAUGA
Molecule: ribosomal RNA, 1441 nt
Filed under: Enterococcus durans
Lineage: Bacteria; Bacillati; Bacillota; Bacilli; Lactobacillales; Enterococcaceae
Description: bacterial SSU rRNA
Rfam family: Bacterial small subunit ribosomal RNA
Source: RNAcentral